Molecule: ribosomal RNA, 495 nt
Filed under: uncultured bacterium
Lineage: Bacteria
Description: bacterial SSU rRNA
Rfam family: Bacterial small subunit ribosomal RNA
Source: RNAcentral
GCUUAACACAUGCAAGUCGAGCGAGAACCCAGGCUUCGGCCUGGGGGACAGCGGCGAACGGGUGAGUAACACGUGGGUAAUCUGCCCUCGGCAUCGGGAUAGCCCGGGGAAACCCGGAUUAAUACCGAAUGGCCCGGCAGCUCUUCGGAGCGGUCGGAAAAGGUAGCUUUGGCCUCCGGCCGAGGAGGAGCCCGCGGCGGAUUAGCUAGUUGGUGAGGUAACGGCUCACCAAGGCUACGAUCAGUAUCCGGCCUGAGAGGGCGGACGGACACACUGGGACUGAGACACGGCCCAGACUCCUACGGGAGGCAGCAGUGGGGAAUUGUUCGCAAUGGGCGAAAGCCUGACGACGCAACGCCGCGUGGAGGAUGAAGAUCUUCGGGUCGUAAACUCCUGUCGAGUGGAAAGAACAGCUUCCGGGCGAAUAUCCCGGGAGCCUGACGGUACCACUAAAGGAAGCCCCGGCUAACUCCGUGCCAGCCGCCGCGGUAAUUC